GACGAACGCUGGCGGCGUGCUUAACACAUGCAAGUCGAACGGAAAGGCCCUGCUUUUGUGGGGUGCUCGAGUGGCGAACGGGUGAGUAACGCGUGAGUAACCUGCCCUUGACUUUGGGAUAACUUCAGGAAACUGGGGCUAAUACCGGAUAGGAGCUCCUGCUGCAUGGUGGGGGUUGGAAAGUUUCGGCGGUUGGGGAUGGACUCGCGGCUUAUCAGCUUGUUGGUGGGGUAGUGGCUUACCAAGGCUUUGACGGGUAGCCGGCCUGAGAGGGUGACCGGCCACAUUGGGACUGAGAUACGGCCCAGACUCCUACGGGAGGCAGCAGUGGGGAAUAUUGCACAAUGGGCGGAAGCCUGGUGCAGCAACGCCGCGUGCGGGAUGACGGCCUUCGGGUUGUAAACCGCUUUCGCCUGUGACGAAGCGUGAGUGACGGUAAUGGGUAAAGAAGCACCGGCUAACUACGUG
Molecule: ribosomal RNA, 468 nt
Filed under: uncultured bacterium
Lineage: Bacteria
Description: partial 16S ribosomal RNA
Rfam family: Bacterial small subunit ribosomal RNA
Source: RNAcentral